CCCUUAGAUGUUCUGGGCCGCACGCGCGCUACACUGAUGAAUGCAACGAGCUCUACCCUUGACCGAAAGGCCCGGGUAAACUUGUGAAACUUCAUCGUGAUGGGGAUAGAUUAUUGCAAUUAUUAAUCUUCAACGAGGAAUUCCUAGUAAGCGCGAGUCAUCAGCUCGCGUUGAUUACGUCCCUGCCCUUUGUACACACCGCCCGUCGCUCCUACCGAUUGAAUGGUCCGGUGAAAUCUUCGGAUUGCUGACCAAGAUCCAGCAAUGGAGCUUGGUUGCGAGAAGUUGAUUAAACCUUAUUAUUGAGAGGAAGGAGAAGUCGUAACA
This 327-nucleotide ribosomal RNA is filed under the name uncultured eukaryote. RNAcentral describes it as "partial 18S ribosomal RNA". It matches the Rfam family "Eukaryotic small subunit ribosomal RNA", at positions 1470 to 1796 of the family's 1831-position model. The record is from RNAcentral.